Molecule: transfer RNA, 81 nt
Filed under: Streptococcus pneumoniae
Lineage: Bacteria; Bacillati; Bacillota; Bacilli; Lactobacillales; Streptococcaceae
Description: tRNA-Tyr(gta)
Rfam family: tRNA (bases 8-75)
About the family: Transfer RNA (tRNA) molecules are approximately 80 nucleotides in length. Their secondary structure includes four short double-helical elements and three loops (D, anti-codon, and T loops).
Source: RNAcentral
UGGAAGGGUAGCGAAGAGGCUAAACGCGGCGGACUGUAAAUCCGCUCCUUCGGGUUCGGGGGUUCGAAUCCCGUCGUUCGC